This is a long non-coding RNA of Drosophila ananassae, 1602 nucleotides long. RefSeq lists it as uncharacterized. The transcript has 2 exons. The record is from RefSeq and is a predicted model, not a curated record. Lineage: Eukaryota; Metazoa; Arthropoda; Insecta; Diptera; Drosophilidae.
GACUGUUGUGGAGCAAGCUGACUUGGGGAUUGCCGACGACGUGGUCUGUGCAAAUUUUAUUACAGCUGUGUCAGGCAUUUUGACAGCAGGUUUCACCUACAUUUAACACCGGGAGCACAAAAAACAAUCAUAUUUUCAAUUUCGACUCAAUGGUUACUCUGUACUCUGACUCUUUGUGCCUUUGGAAUACAACUUUUAAUAGCACGGCCUGCUGUGACUAAUUUCCUUUGAAAACCUGGCAUACCCUUGUAGCUUCACGGAUUACCUCUUCUAGAAAAAAAAGUGGAAACAACAACUAACCGGAACGGGAGCAGUUGCAGUCACGGAUGCCGCAGUCGACUUGGACUGCAUUUAGCGUAUGCAUAUUUAAUAUUUCCCAGGCAAGUUGCAACCAACAACAAAUACAACAACGGCUGAAAAAACUCCAGAAACUCUCCAGCCAAAGCCAAGGAACAGUAGCGAAAAAAGGGUUCCAAACUGGAGUACAAAAAACGGGGGGAACACAGCUCAUACUCGUAUAUCAUUUGACCCUGCUGGCAGUCACCCUCUCUAGUCCUCCCUCUUCGCGUAUCCUUUUUCCUGCUAACAAGAAGCAAACAACAGGAAACCAAAGCGGGAGAGGUGGCGGGCAGGAGCAGGAGCAGGAUCAGGAGCAGGAGCGGCUGGGGUGGGACGUGGGAGUGAAAAAAGUUUUGAAAUGAAAAAGCAGUCAGCAUAUGAAAUGAGUUUAUUACUCAAAAUGCUCCGCUGUGUGUGCGUGUGUGUGUGAAUGCGGCACGCUUUAAGUGGCAUGCAUGCACCAUGUGAUGAAGGGCGUGAGGCAAGGCGCGGGGCGUGGCCGGUGCCAAGUCCCAGCCCAGGAAGGAGCUGACGUCCUACGCCGCUGACGUCGCCACCGCCGGGUUGCAGGCGAAUAGUUAGCUGGAUUUAUUUAUAAAUAAUUUCCAAACAUAAAUCGCUGCGCAGCUUAAUCAAAUUUACGGCAGACAGUGAGUGGCAAAGCUACGGGGCCGCGGUGCUACAAAGACACAUAAUCUGUGCAAGGACAUAAGCGAGAUUUGCAAUUAAUAUUUCAACUGUCUCUACAGUAUUUUCAAUAUAACAAACCGCCAGGAUUUUCUUGUCAUCGCGGGAAAUGAAAAGGAAAUGCUCUAAAAAUACCCAUUUGUGUUAAUUGAGCUCGACAGGACCUGGUACAACAAUAACAAAUUGCAUAAUGCACAGUCGCAGGCAACAACAGGAACAGGAUGCACUGCAAAGCGGAUGGUGCGCCGGAAAUUGGCUUAUAGAUGCCGGGCCAUAGAUAUUUAGCCACGCUUCCCGUUCGGCCAAAUGGCAGAUUGAAGAUGCAAAUUCAGACGUGGAUUGCAUAUGUCCCAUUAAAGGAAGUGUUGCCUCGAAAUGUCUGCGAACUUGUGCUUCUAAGUACCUCUUUAAAUGGCUUUCGAUGUGGCAAGGUAUGCGGCUAAUAAUGGGUAGUAACCAAACUUGAAAAAAAUUUGGGGCAAAAAGUAAUUUGUAAUUUUGCAGGCCUUACCAACUGUUCUCUAAAAUCUAAUCUAAUAAUCAAAUUUUCUCAGUCAAAUAAAUUAAUUGCUCAGA